Pelobates cultripes (western spadefoot toad) is the source of this 117-nucleotide non-coding RNA. The record is from the annotation of a GenBank genome assembly. NCBI's taxonomy places the organism in Eukaryota, Metazoa, Chordata, Amphibia, Anura, Pelobatidae.
UAUGCAUGUGUCUGUAUGUGUGUGUCUGUAUGUGUCUGUCUCUGUAUGUAUGUGUCUGUAUGAUACAAACAUACAUACAGAGACACACACACAUACAGACACAUACAUACACACAGA